UACGUAGGGGGCUAGCGUUGUCCGGAAUCAUUGGGCGUAAAGCGCGUGUAGGCGGUUCGGUAAGUCCGCUGUGAAAGUCGGGGGCUCAACCCUCGGAUGCCGGUGGAUACUGUCGGACUAGAGUACGGAAGAGGCGAGUGGAAUUCCUGGUGUAGCGGUGAAAUGCGCAGAUAUCAGAAGGAACACCGAUUGCGAAGGCAGCUCGCUGGGACGUUACUGACGCUGAGACGCGAAAGCGUGGGGAGCAAACAGG
This 253-nucleotide ribosomal RNA is filed under the name uncultured bacterium. RNAcentral describes it as "partial 16S ribosomal RNA". It matches the Rfam family "Bacterial small subunit ribosomal RNA", at positions 524 to 776 of the family's 1533-position model. The record is from RNAcentral.